ACAGCAGCAGCCGCGGUAAUACGUAGGUCCCGAGCGUUGUCCGGAUUUAUUGGGCGUAAAGCGAGCGCAGGCGGUUAGAUAAGUCUGAAGUUAAAGGCUGUGGCUUAACCAUAGUACGCUUUGGAAACUGUUUAACUUGAGUGCAAGAGGGGAGAGUGGAAUUCCAUGUGUAGCGGUGAAAUGCGUAGAUAUAUGGAGGAACACCGGUGGCGAAAGCGGCUCUCUGGCUUGUAACUGACGCUGAGGCUCGAAAGCGUGGGGAGCAAACAGGAUUAGAUACCCGCGUGGUCCCUGUCUCUUAUACA
This 305-nucleotide ribosomal RNA is filed under the name uncultured bacterium. RNAcentral's name for it is "partial 16S ribosomal RNA". It matches the Rfam family "Bacterial small subunit ribosomal RNA", at positions 505 to 808 of the family's 1533-position model. The record is from RNAcentral.